AAUGGCGAAAGUUGUUGUCUGGUUAUUUUCAAUUUGCCAAUCAUGUAAUACUCAAGUGGUCCAUUAACCCCUGUCAGCCUCAACUUCCACUGGCAGAUUCUGUACAUUUUUUCCUUGAAAUUAAAUUCUCAUCGUUAUCAUCCCAUGUGUCGUGACCACUUGGCAAUAUUUGGGAUUUCAGCUGAAUUUCUUUCACAUUACCAGAAGAUAAUGGAAGAUGGAACGCCACCACUCACUCACUGAAGAACAUAUUAUUACGCUGCUGCUGCUCCUCCUGAUGCAGGAUGCGGCGGGCACCACGGAGGUGGAGAUAGCUGCGGAGGCGGUCAUCACUAAUGUCCUUCACCAGAGGCGGAAUAAUGGCGCUGUGGCUGAUACGAAGUUUCAUUUCAAGACGCUACGGGGAAAAAAAAAAAAAGACUUUUCUUCACCGGCCAGAGAAGAGUCAAAACAACCUGCCCAUAUAUAUGCAGCCAACUAGCCACGAACGUCCUGAAGGAGAUCAUCGAUAGGAUACUGGGGAAGGGUAAUCAUGGCGAGGGAAAUUGCCCGUCUGGUAGAUAGCUAUGGAAGCGGCUCCGGGUCAGGUGGAGUCCUUUUUGUGCUCUGCGCAGUUGUAUUCUCUCUGACUGUCAUUUCCAUGGUUGUAUUCGCUUGUGGUCAUAGCAGCAAUGGCAGUCAUCGUCGGAGGCGGCAUGGAGGUGGUGGCGGAGGCGGCUGUGGAGGCGGUGGCGGCGGAGGUGGCUGUGGAGGCGGCGGCGGAGGAGGAUGUUAAGUUUUGAAAUGCAUGAUCUCUUUUUCGUUGUGUUAUUUGUAUAAAGAUAUUCACAGAGCGGGCAUUUGUGUUUGUAAAGUACAUAUGCCACUUGCUAUGUCUCAAAUAAAAGGGAGCGUCUGUUAUUAGCGAGUUUAUGGACUCCUCGUACUCUUCCGGUUUGGACAAUAUUUGUGAUACUGAGAUAUCAGUACACGAGCAACUCCUGUUGGUGCAUCUUGACUAGUGCAAUUGAUAAAAUCUUCGUUUUA
Punica granatum (pomegranate) is the source of this 1026-nucleotide non-coding RNA. Lineage: Eukaryota; Viridiplantae; Streptophyta; Magnoliopsida; Myrtales; Lythraceae. The record is from RefSeq and is a predicted model, not a curated record.